GAUCCUGGCUCAGGACGAACGCUGGCGGCGUGCCUAACACAUGCAAGUCGAACGGAGUUACUUCGAUGAAGUUUUCGGAUGGAUUUGAUUUAACUUAGUGGCGGACGGGUGAGUAACGCGUGAGCAACCUGCCUUUCAGAGGGGGACAACAGUUGGAAACGACUGCUAAUACCGCAUAAAACAGCGAGGAGGCAUCUCCUUACUGUCAAAGAUUUAUCGCUGAAAGAUGGGCUCGCGU
Molecule: ribosomal RNA, 238 nt
Filed under: uncultured bacterium
Lineage: Bacteria
Description: partial 16S ribosomal RNA
Rfam family: Bacterial small subunit ribosomal RNA
Source: RNAcentral